ACUGUGACAAAUAUGCAUCUCCCUCGUUAACGGGUAUGCAAACAAGCGAAAAUACAAUGCUUUCUUCCUGGAGAGCUUUGUAGAAUACAUAUAUCUCACAUUUAUGUGUGCUGUUAUGCAGAGUAAUGAUGGCAGAUACUGGUGUAGCAGGAGCUUGGCCUGAAGCCCGUGCCUGAUUCUUCUCUGUGUGAGGACUUGGUUCUUGGUUUGGCUGUGGGGAACAAAUUUGGAACUGUCGUCAACUGCAUGACUUCAGUUCAGGUUUAAAACCUUAUCUAGCUUAUUGUGAUUGUCUUGAUUAUGCCAUUAAAGAACUUUUAAGAUUUGUGUAUUAUGCCACUAAGACAUAUUACCUUCUCUGUGUUAAAAAGGCAUGUUCUGCUUAAACGACUCGGCCAACUACGGCUCUCAGUUGUAGUCUUCAUGGUUUUGUUCCUCCAUUCUUGGCACGUCCUUAUCUGCAAAUGAAUGUCAACCUUCCAUUACUAUCUGCCU
Molecule: long non-coding RNA, 495 nt
Filed under: Zea mays
Lineage: Eukaryota; Viridiplantae; Streptophyta; Magnoliopsida; Poales; Poaceae
Description: long non-coding RNA (ZMAY_LNC000111)
Source: RNAcentral